This 460-nucleotide ribosomal RNA is filed under the name uncultured bacterium. RNAcentral describes it as "partial 16S ribosomal RNA". It matches the Rfam family "Bacterial small subunit ribosomal RNA", at positions 338 to 795 of the family's 1533-position model. The record is from RNAcentral.
CCUACGGGUGGCAGCAGUGAGGAAUAUUGGUCAAUGGACGGGAGUCUGAACCAGCCAUGCCGCGUGAAGGACGACUGCUCUAUGGGUUGUAAACUCCUUUUGUACCGGGGUAAAACGAGUAACGUGUGCCUUUUUGCAUGUACGGUACGAAUAAGGAUCGGCUAACUCCGUGCCAGCAGCCGCGGUAAUACGGAGGAUCCGAGCGUUAUCCGGAUUUAUUGGGUUUAAAGGGAGCGUAGAUUGGUUGUUAAGUUAGUGGUGAAAGUGCGCGGCUCAACCGUGGCAUUGCAAUUGAUACUGGCAGUCUUGAGUGCAGUUGAGGUAGGCGGAAUGCGUGGUGUAGCGGUGAAAUGCGUAGAUAUUAGGAAGAACACCGAUUGCGAAGGCAGCUUACUAGGCUGUGACUGACACUGAUGCUCGAAAGCGUGGGGAUCAAACAGGAUUAGAUACCCGGGUAGUC